GACGAACGCUGGCGGCGUGCCUAAUACAUGCAAGUCGAGCGGACCAAAGGGAGCUUGCUCCUGGAGGUUAGCGGCGAACGGGUGAGUAACACGUGGGCAACCUGCCUGUAAGACUGGGAUAACAUCGAGAAAUCGGUGCUAAUACCGGAUAAUAAAAAGAACUGCAUGGUUCUUUUUGAAAGAUGGUUUCGGCUAUCACUUACAGAUGGGCCCGCGGCGCAUUAGCUAGUUGGUGAGGUAACGGCUCACCAAGGCGACGAUGCGUAGCCGACCUGAGAGGGUGAUCGGCCACACUGGGACUGAGACACGGCCCAGACUCCUACGGGAGGCAGCAGUAGGGAAUCUUCCGCAAUGGACGAAAGUCUGACGGAGCAACGCCGCGUGAGUGAUGAAGGUUUUCGGAUCGUAAAACUCUGUUGUUAGGGAAGAACAAGUGCCGUUCGAAAGGGCGGCACCUUGACGGUACCAACGAGAAAGCCACGGCUAACUACGUGCCAGCAGCCGCGGU
This 508-nucleotide ribosomal RNA is filed under the name uncultured bacterium. RNAcentral describes it as "bacterial SSU rRNA". It matches the Rfam family "Bacterial small subunit ribosomal RNA", at positions 28 to 521 of the family's 1533-position model. The record is from RNAcentral.